GCCCUACGGUGUCCAGGGCCCCACGGGUGCACAAAUGCUCACACCCUGGCUGAGCUCUGCGGGGAAGGGUGGCCUUAUCCUCAGCCUGCCAUGGGCCUGAGGGGUGGCCGUGGGAUGUCAGUCAGCUGCUCUGUGACUGAGAGCGGCUGUGUGCUUCAUGUCUGCCCCAAGGCUAUGCCGUGAGAUACCAUUUCCAUGAGCUCCAGGGAAGAAAAUCUACUCUCUAGUGAAACAGAGCAGACCCAGGCCCUCCCUAGAUCAGGAUGGAGACAGGCGAGGAGGGACUAAGAACAAGAACGGGCGAGAGUCAAGAUCGGAGAAUGUACAUGUACUACGCCUUGGUGGUGUGGUUCACACCCACAGGACAGCAAAACUCAUUGGAUUCCGCUCCCAUAAUUGCCUCUCCGAGGCCAAAUGCAGGCUCCUCCGCCUGGCUACUACUGACCGGAAGAAGCUUCUGCUUGCUGAGGACCCAGCGACUGGCUGUCUCUCUCCUCCCCAUCUCCAGUGAGCCCACACUCACACAGGAACAAGCAGUGGAUUAAGGUUCUAGGCUCACCAAGGAGUUGGUUUUAACUUCCCCAGAAGAUGCAGGUGAUGCUCCAAGCAAACUGGGACCCACCACCGCCAAUGAUGGAGACGGCGGCUAGGCAGCCUUUGGGCAGCAGAGGCCAUGGAGCCCUUCACGCGGUGACUGUCCUCACUGCCCAGCUGGCCUUGUUCCGAGUCUCCAGGCCAUGCCAGGCACCUGCCGGGCUGCCUCAUCAGUGUGCACUCACAUGAGUCUUUGCUGCCCCCUCCCGACCCGCGGCCCGCCCACGUCCUCCCAGCUGGGUGGUGCACAGUCACACGCUGUGGGAUGAGCCCAUGGUGUCACCACCUCUCCAAUGUUUCCUGCCCAGCUCGCUUUCUCCAGAGAAACCCCUUCCCGGCUCAUCCACCCGGGUUGGGGGCUGAGUGGCUCUCUGACAGCGAGGCCCAGGUGAGGGGCUCCGCUGGCUUCGUCUUAUCCUGAUAUUCCCAAAC
This 1026-nucleotide long non-coding RNA is filed under the name Fukomys damarensis (Damara mole-rat). Its description in RNAcentral is "lncRNA (ENSFDAG00000031776.1)". The record is from RNAcentral. Lineage: Eukaryota; Metazoa; Chordata; Mammalia; Rodentia; Bathyergidae.